CCUGAGUCAAUAAAUUCCAAGAGAAGACCUAGACUGAUUGGAUCUGUGGAGGGUAGAGAUAUCAUUUUCGUGAACACGGAACUUGGCGUCUACGAGAUUGAUCUCAAGACACUAAUGUGGAAGGAGCGAAUGAAGGGGGGCAACUUCCAUUCUUCGAUUCCGUACAUGAGCUUCUACAAUCUCCUAGGUAUAUCUACAUGUAUUUCUUUUUUUAUGAUUCAUGAACAACUCUUCGGUAACAAUAUACUCCCUCCGUCCCAAAAUAAGUGUCUCAAGCUUAGUACAAUUUUGCACUGAAGUUAGUACAAAGUUGAGACAUUUAUUUUGGGACAAAAGGGAGUAUCUGUUAGCGGAACCAUUAAAGCAUUGAAUGCCUGAUCACAUUGAAAAUUGUGUUCGGAAUUUGCUGCAACAAAUUUCAAGUGCAAUGUACUAAUUGAAGGUUACAAUUAAUUAUGCUUUCUUAAUUGGCAAUUUAUAUGAUAUACUAUCAUGUCAUAUCAUUAGUGGAAUCACAUUGAUAAACUAUGUUUGCAGAAAGGGUGACUCUUGGUGAUGCGGCAUGUUGAGAAUGCACGGUUGAGUAUGCAGGAUGCUACUACUCAUUAACAAGAAACAUGACAACUUGGAGGCAUAUGGUGUGAUGAACUGUGUCACUACUUAGUAGCCCUUUUGGUGCAGUGGUGCCUGCAUGAUUCCUCAUAUUAGUGUUGGCUUUUGUCUGUUAGUUUGGCAGUUCCCCGUGUGGUUCGUGUGUAAGUGGGUGAACUAAUUAUCUUGUAGCGAAACAUUAAUUUCUGGCCUCUAUGUGAACCGUUGUUAAAUUUAUGCAUCUGCAAAAAGUGGCUUAAAUCCCAAGUUUAUCUAGUCUCUAAAUUCAUCUUCUAAAAUGGUUAUCCUUGGUGAGCACCAGAUGCCGAUGGCAUGUCCACAGCUAGUGGCUCGCUCAUAUUUCUUAAUUGAUCUAGAUAAAUUUUUUUUGUGCUAGACAUACAUGUUG
RNAcentral lists this long non-coding RNA (1000 nucleotides) under Triticum aestivum (bread wheat). RNAcentral's name for it is "long non-coding RNA (TAES_LNC002438)". The record is from RNAcentral. Lineage: Eukaryota; Viridiplantae; Streptophyta; Magnoliopsida; Poales; Poaceae.